RNAcentral lists this long non-coding RNA (444 nucleotides) under Homo sapiens (human). Its description in RNAcentral is "non-protein coding LINC01197:30". The record is from RNAcentral. Lineage: Eukaryota; Metazoa; Chordata; Mammalia; Primates; Hominidae.
GCUCCCUUCGCCGCGCCUCGCGUGCUAGCGGUGCCCUUGUGAGCCACUGCGUUCUCCAAGGCCAGAACGGGACAGAUGGAGAAAUUGAGAUGAGAGCUCAUCCACAAGAUUACCCAUCAAUGAGCACCAAUAGCAACCAAAUCCACUAGAAGACUGGGAGCUUUUAAGUCAAGAAACUUACAUCAGUAUCAUCAUUCCAAGAAGCGGUAUCCAAGCUGUUUUAUCGAAAGUGCGCAUGGGAGAUAAGACUCUGAGAAUUUAUAGAAACAAACAUUAGAAGGCAGGAAUGUGGAGAGAAGAAAGCUACCUGACAAGGGAAUCUCAGGAUACAAGGAAAACACCAAGGUGAAGACACUUAAAGAAGGUGACAUAUGACCACAAGAAUUAAGAACAAACAGGGAAACAUGAUAUCACAAGAAAAAAAUAUGAAGCCAGUGACUAACC